This 4563-nucleotide long non-coding RNA is filed under the name Fragaria vesca (wild strawberry). Its description in RNAcentral is "long non-coding RNA (FVES_LNC000961)". The record is from RNAcentral. Lineage: Eukaryota; Viridiplantae; Streptophyta; Magnoliopsida; Rosales; Rosaceae.
AUAACAUUAUAGAAUAGUAUAACUUUGCAGUGAUUACUACAGUUUCACAAUGAUGCAAAGAGGUUUGAAUAGAUAAAACAAAAAUAAAAAAUUAGAGAUGUACCAUUCUAUGACGUUUGCUCUCUGGUACUUUCCCUGCUAAUGGCGAUGGGAAAAAAAAUUGAGAUUGAAGUACCUUGCUUUUCCACCCAAAUUGAAGCACAACUUGGAAGUUGGAACCAAUAGCAAACUCCAGUUUGACGUUGUUUGGUAAUUUCCCAAAUGUCUAUUUGCAAAAAUUGAAAGAAGACGAAAUGACAAACCCAAAACAAUAGAAAACCAAAGACCCUAAAAUUACCCAAUGACAAUUAGGUAGUCUAACCAUUUGAUAGAUCUAUAUGCGAACUCUUAAUUAAUGUUGAUAUGUACUCCUUUCCCCAAAUUUUGGUUAUUUUGCUACGCUCCCCAAGAGUAAAUAUAGAGAUGAGCGAGAAUAACAUCUUUCACGAUGUCGACGGUUUCUAACUGCAAAUCAGUUUUUGAAUGAAACUGAAACUGUCUUGUUCCUCUAGGUUAUUGUUUUACCCUUUGUUUAUUAUAUCAAUUUUGGGAAAAUGCCCGAGAGCCCUAAAUUUUAAGAUUUUUUUCCCAGUAACAAAAUAAGAUUUUAAAAUUCCCAUGAACCUGUACCCUUUAAGAGUCUCAUUCCCACCUGUCAAAUUUUCAUCUAUUCUCUUAUUUUUACUGAAAAAAUUACCCUUUUCUUAACCUCACGCCUCUCUACUUUGUUUAGAUCUGUGCUCUCUCUCUCUCUGACUUCUCUCUCUCUCUCUAUCUCUCUCUCUCUCAGAUCCGAUCCCGCCGAGUCUGUUCCUAGACUGGUCACCAAAAUGCCUCUGCCAUUUCCCGAGUCAACCUCCGCAACGCAUUCCAUUACCGGUGCUAGUUUGGGGUUUUGGUUCUGAUUUGACUCCCGACGAGGCUUUCGAGGCUGAUGGGAUUGUGGAGGCUCCGAGAUCCGACUCACAAUUCGGGCUCUUCUUCCCUGUUAACCAACUUGCACUUCAAGACGGCUUCUUGUUCUUCAACGACGACGAAGCCUAAGAGAUCGACUGGACGACGAGUCGUUGAAGGUGUUGUAGGACGCAGAUCUAGACCUCCGGUUGACACCCCGCUGGCUUUCAAACCGAAGCCCACCGUCAGUUGGUUUUUUUAUAUACAUAUGAGUGUUGUUUAGUGAUUAGUUUGUUGGAUUUUGAUUAUGACUUGAAUGAUGAAUAUUAAGUUUGAGCAUGUGAUACGCCGUGUGGAUUUCUUAUCUUUAUGUGCAUGAGUUUUGGGAGGUACUAAUGGUUAUACUAAAAUGGUUCACCAGAUGGUUUGUUGGAGUCUGCUAAUUGGAUUGGUUAAUGUUUGUUUAGUAGAAUAUGGUCUCACACUAGAUGGUGUGUGGGCUCUGCUUCUUGUUAUAUAUAGUUUAUGAUUUUCCACCUUCAGCUGUUUGCUUUGUGCUUUGUUUGUGCAAGUUGAACAAGGCUUGAGGAUGAGAGCUCGAAAUUCUUUUUACUUCUUGGAAAUAGACCCCUGCAGAGGGGCAGACAAAACCCUGUAUUUUCUUCCAAAUAUCUCCUACUGCCCCUAGGAGACCCUCCUACUGUCCCUAGUAGACCCUCUUAUUGCUCGCAGUAAACCCCCUGAUAGACCCCAUGCAUAUUGCCUCCUAAAAACCCCUUACUGCCCCCACUAUACCCCCAACAGACCUCUUACUGCCCCCAAUAGGUGGUCAUACUGACCCUAAUAGGGACCUGUUAUAAGUGACUGAAGCACAUAGUUAAGUUUAAGGGUCCUACUGCCCCCAGUAGACCCUCCUACUGCCCCUAGUAGACCUCCGGAUAGACCCCAUGCAUAUUGCCUCCAAAAGACCCCCUACUGCCCACUAUACCCCCGACAGACCCCUAAUACCCCCAAUAGAUGGUCAUACUGACCCCAAUAGGGACCUAUUGUAAGUGACUGAAGCACAUAAUUAAGUUCAAGGGUUAUACUACCCCCAGUAGACCCUCCUAUUGCCCCUAGUAGACCCCCGGAUAGACCCCAUGCAUAUUGCCUCCAAAAGACCCCCUACUGCCCCCGCUAUACCCUCGACAGACCCCUUACAUAUUGCCCCCAAUAGGUGGUCAUACUGACCCCAAUAAGGACCUGUUAUAAGUGACUGAAACACAUAGUUAAGUUCAAGGGUCAUACUGACCCCAAUAGGAGAUCAACGGUCGUCGGAUUUCGGUCAAUGUCGUCGGAUCCUAGUCAACGGUCAUCGGUUGCAAGAAUCCGGUCAUAGGUUUUUAUUUCAAAAUAGAUCUUUUAUUGUUCUUAUAAUGGUGUAUUGUAGUUUAUUUAAUUCAUUAAAGGUAUAAUUGUCUUUCUGCUGUUUAAGUUGGCUUAUGAGAAUUUUAAAAUCUCAUUUUGUUAGUGGGAAUAAAAUUCUUAAAAUUAGGGCUAGUAGGCAUUGUUCCAUCAAUUUUUUAUAGACCUAUAUAAAGUGAGGGGUAAUAGUAGGGAUUAUGAAAGUUUAACUUUUGGCAGUUCCAUAAGCCAAAUUGGCUUAAUUAAUUAUGAUACUUCAUGUUGUAAAUCAUAUUGAAAAUGGUUGGGGUUGGCCGAAUCGAAAUAAGAAAACACUCAAGUCUUGAAAAGAAUGGUGAAUUUAUUCAAAAAAAAAAAACUAAAGUCUUGAAUAAAAAAAAAGGGACCCCCAUAAAUAUCUUAACCCAGACAUCUUCUUCUUCAGCAUUAUGACAUUGUCGUGAACAACAAUGGAAUGUUAAAAAGCAACAUAGACUUUAUGGACACCCGACGAAGAAGAAGAAGAAGCUCAAGUCAGAGGCCAACAAGUAACUGUACAUAUAUAGCCUUGACUACCACAUAGGAGAGCGGUCUCUUAGAGCAUUUUCAACAGCUCUUAUAUUAAUUCUCUAUUAUAGAGGAGUAAAUCACAAAAUUUCUAAACGAAAAUAAAAUCAACUCUAACAGCUCGUCUAUUCUAUUAUACAAAUUAAAUGAUUUUCUGUAUAAUUUAAUGAAUCUAUAUAAAUAUUAUAUAUUUAUUAUAAUCAAACCCCAAACUCAUGUUAAAUGUUUUAAUUUUAUGAUGUUUUGUUCUUUUUUGAAGAAAGAGAAUAAAUUUUAAAAGGCAAGCAAUAAAGUUUACAUGAAGAUACAAAUUUUUAAGAAUUUUAUAGAUUUAGAGGAUAUGUUUCUCUCUCAUCUCACAUUUUGUAUUAUAGAGGAUCCUUUACAUGAGUUGUUGGAGCCAAAAAAUGAUGUUUUUCCUCCAAAAUAGAGAUUAUUCUAGUUUUACAUGAGCUGUUGGAGAUGCUCUUAUGGUGUCCGCAUCAUCAAAUUGUCCUCCGAUGAUGAUGGCUUAAAACUGCAAUUAGAGCAACUGACUUAUAAGCCAAGUAUGGAUCUUCCCCAUAUGUAAGUUUUCAUGUUUUCAACUUUCAAUUAUGAUCUUUUUCGUCACGGCGGCUACAUAGGGCAAUCAGGUACUGUUGGGAUUUUAACCCCACAAACGAAUAGCAAUUCAAAAAUAGACACACCCCUCAUUAGUGCACAAUACGUUAAUAAAACAGAAUAACAACAAGAAUAAAAAAACAAAACUGUUGACACAAAAUUCAACAUGGUUUGAUAAAUUUUAUUCAUACGUCCAACCCAGGAUAUUUGCUCUUUUACUAUAAGAAUAAAACUAGUACAAUAUACAUGAGUUAAAUCCCACAACCCAAAUCCUAAAACCCAUGUACACCCCCACUCAUAAAAUACUCAAGAACAGAAUGUCUUACCUAAGAGAACUUCCCUCUUAGCACCUUAAUUUUCUCUCUUACUCUCAUGCACAACCCACACAAGCUAUUUCUAUAUAUGCUUGCCCAAUUCUUAAUAGAUGCUAAUUUGCAUUCUAAACUUUAAAUGGUUUCCAUGCAGCAAUUUAUAGGCACCAAUCAUAUAUGUGAAAAAGGUUUUGCACGUCUUUUUCUUCCUUCUUAUUCUAAUUGAUGCAGCACACCAUUGAAGACAACCUUUUCCCCUUCAAUCGCCACUAACAUCAAUCAAAGCUUUGUAGCUAUAUCAUAGUUAGCUAUGCUCUCCAUUUACUUUUUGCAUGAGAAUGAAUCACCAUUAUCAUCAUCUAGCUUGGUGAGAAUAGCGAUUCAUUUACAUGCAAAACUGCACCAUCGAGAUCGUUCUUCACAUAGACUAACUACACUCCCUGAAUCAAUUUAAUUUGGUCCACCUUCAUUCAGCACUUCAACCAACCCUAUGUAAUUGCAUGCACCAAGCUAACUUUGCUAGUUAACUUCAUAUAGAAGGGUCUCGAUGCACCCUCUCUACCUGCUAGAUUAAACCUUUCACCAUUAUCCAGAGACCAAAAUCCUUUCUUAGAGCCUAGAGACCUAACCCUUUCUUCUUUGACUUGGUUAGUUACCAUGCAUAGCAGAAGCAUGAUACUUUUGGCAAACACCAACAUAUAUACAUGAUCUUCACUCUUCCACAAACUGACACAUGUACUGAAUGCUCAUACGGGAAAGUUUACUC